AAACUGUGGCGUAUGAAACCAUAAACAACAUUUUCUUUUUCGUCUUUCCGCACCAUCCCCAAAACUCAUAAAUCUUUAUGCGCGAGCGCUCUCUUUCCGCGCACCAUCAUCUAUGCUUAUGCUGGGAUGCUCCUCAUCAUC
Caenorhabditis elegans is the source of this 141-nucleotide non-coding RNA. NCBI's taxonomy places the organism in Eukaryota, Metazoa, Nematoda, Chromadorea, Rhabditida, Rhabditidae. The record is from Ensembl.